RNAcentral lists this ribosomal RNA (1372 nucleotides) under uncultured bacterium. RNAcentral describes it as "bacterial SSU rRNA". It matches the Rfam family "Bacterial small subunit ribosomal RNA", at positions 28 to 1381 of the family's 1533-position model. The record is from RNAcentral.
GAUGAACGCUGGCGGCGUGCCUAAUACAUGCAAGUCGAGCGAACGGACGAGAAGCUUGCUUCUCUGAUGUUAGCGGCGGACGGGUGAGUAACACGUGGAUAACCUACCUAUAAGACUGGGAUAACUUCGGGAAACCGGAGCUAAUACCGGAUAAUAUUUUGAACCGCAUGGUUCAAAAGUGAAAGACGGUCUUGCUGUCACUUAUAGAUGGAUCCGCGCUGCAUUAGCUAGUUGGUAAGGUAACGGCUUACCAAGGCAACGAUGCAUAGCCGACCUGAGAGGGUGAUCGGCCACACUGGAACUGAGACACGGUCCAGACUCCUACGGGAGGCAGCAGUAGGGAAUCUUCCGCAAUGGGCGAAAGCCUGACGGAGCAACGCCGCGUGAGUGAUGAAGGUCUUCGGAUCGUAAAACUCUGUUAUUAGGGAAGAACAUAUGUGUAAGUAACUGUGCACAUCUUGACGGUACCUAAUCAGAAAGCCACGGCUAACUACGUGCCAGCAGCCGCGGUAAUACGUAGGUGGCAAGCGUUAUCCGGAAUUAUUGGGCGUAAAGCGCGCGUAGGCGGUUUUUUAAGUCUGAUGUGAAAGCCCGCGGCUCAACCGUGGAGGGUCAUUGGAAACUGGAAAACUUGAGUGCAGAAGAGGAAAGUGGAAUUCCAUGUGUAGCGGUGAAAUGCGCAGAGAUAUGGAGGAACACCAGUGGCGAAGGCGACUUUCUGGUCUGUAACUGACGCUGAUGUGCGAAAGCGUGGGGAUCAAACAGGAUUAGAUACCCUGGUAGUCCACGCCGUAAACGAUGAGUGCUAAGUGUUAGGGGGUUUCCGCCCCUUAGUGCUGCAGCUAACGCAUUAAGCACUCCGCCUGGGGAGUACGACCGCAAGGUUGGAACUCAAAGGAAUUGACGGGGACCCGCACAAGCGGUGGAGCAUGUGGUUUAAUUCGAAGCAACGCGAAGAACCUUACCAAAUCUUGACAUCCUUUGACAACUCUAGAGAUAGAGCUUUCCCCUUCGGGGGACAAAGUGACAGGUGGUGCAUGGUUGUCGUCAGCUCGUGUCGUGAGAUGUUGGGUUAAGUCCCGCAACGAGCGCAACCCUUAAGCUUAGUUGCCAUCAUUAAGUUGGGCACUCUAAGUUGACUGCCGGUGACAAACCGGAGGAAGGUGGGGAUGACGUCAAAUCAUCAUGCCCCUUAUGAUUUGGGCUACACACGUGCUACAAUGGACAAUACAAAGGGCAGCGAAACCGUGAGGUCAAGCAAAUCCCAUAAAGUUGUUCUCAGUUCGGAUUGUAGUCUGCAACUCGACUACAUGAAGCUGGAAUCGCUAGUAAUCGUAGAUCAGCAUGCUACGGUGAAUACGUUCCCGGGUCU